GACGAACGCUGGCGGCGUGCUUAACACAUGCAAGUCGAACGGAAAGGCCCUGUUUGCAGGGUAGUCGAUUGGCUAACGGGUGAGUAACUCGUGGGUGAUCUGCCCUGCACUUCGGGAUAAGUCUGGGAAACUGGGUCUAAUACCGGCUAGGAGCCAUUUUUAGUGUGAUGGUUGGAAAGUUUUUUCGGUGUAGGAUGAGCUCGCGGCCUAUCAGCUUGUUGGUGGGGUAAUGGCCUACCAAGGCGGCGACGGGUAGCCGGCCUGAGAGAGUGGACGGCCACAUUGGGACUGAGAUGCGGCACAGGCACCUAAGGGAGGGAGCAGUGGGGAAUAUUGCACAAUGAGCGCAAGGCGAAUGAAGCGAGGCCGCGUGGGGGAUAACGGCCUUCGGGUUGUAAACUCCGUGCGCUAGGGACGAAGAUUUUUGUGACGGUACCUAGAGAAGAAGCACCGGCUAACUACGUG
Molecule: ribosomal RNA, 465 nt
Filed under: uncultured bacterium
Lineage: Bacteria
Description: partial 16S ribosomal RNA
Rfam family: Bacterial small subunit ribosomal RNA
Source: RNAcentral